UGGGGAAUUUUGGACAAUGGGCGAAAGCCUGAUCCAGCAAUGCCGCGUGUGUGAAGAAGGCCUUCGGGUUGUAAAGCACUUUUGUCCGGAAAGAAAUCCUUGGCUCUAAUACAGUCGGGGGAUGACGGUACCGGAAGAAUAAGCACCGGCUAACUACGUGCCAGCAGCCGCGGUAAUACGUAGGGUGCAAGCGUUAAUCGGAAUUACUGGGCGUAAAGCGUGCGCAGGCGGUUUGCUAAGACCGAUGUGAAAUCCCCGGGCUCAACCUGGGAACUGCAUUGGUGACUGGCAGGCUAGAGUAUGGCAGAGGGGGGUAGAAUUCCACGUGNAGCAGUGAAAUGCGUAGAGAUGUGGAGGAAUACCGAUGGCGAAGGCAGCCCCCUGGGCCAAUACUGACGCUCAUGCACGAAAGCGUGGGGAGCAAACAGGAUUAGAUACCCUGGUAGUCCACGCCCUAAACGAUGUCAACUAGUUGUUGGGGAUUCAUUUCCUUAGUAACGUAGCUAACGCGUGAAGUUGACCGCCUGGGGAGUACGGUCGCAAGAUUAAAACUCAAAUGAAUUGACGGGGUCAUAGCUGUUUCCU
This 585-nucleotide ribosomal RNA is filed under the name uncultured bacterium. RNAcentral's name for it is "partial 16S ribosomal RNA". It matches the Rfam family "Bacterial small subunit ribosomal RNA", at positions 355 to 1375 of the family's 1533-position model. The record is from RNAcentral.